This is a non-coding RNA of Podarcis lilfordi (Lilford's wall lizard), 85 nucleotides long. NCBI's taxonomy places the organism in Eukaryota, Metazoa, Chordata, Lepidosauria, Squamata, Lacertidae. The record is from the annotation of a GenBank genome assembly.
CUUGGGGAAGGGGGCUGCUGCUCAGAGGCAGAACACCUGCUUCACAUGCAGAAGGUCCCAGGUUCAAUCCCUGGAAUCUCCAAGA